UGACUAUGUAUGUUCCUUGAUGGAGGUUC
RNAcentral lists this small RNA (29 nucleotides) under Bombyx mori (domestic silkworm). Its description in RNAcentral is "ovarian small RNA-3626". Lineage: Eukaryota; Metazoa; Arthropoda; Insecta; Lepidoptera; Bombycidae. The record is from RNAcentral.